Molecule: unclassified non-coding RNA, 21 nt
Filed under: Chlamydomonas reinhardtii
Lineage: Eukaryota; Viridiplantae; Chlorophyta; Chlorophyceae; Chlamydomonadales; Chlamydomonadaceae
Description: small RNA Cre_2259
Source: RNAcentral
UACUGCUGUGGUCAACACAAG